UACGUAGGGUGCGAGCGUUGUCCGGAAUUACUGGGCGUAAAGGGCUCGUAGGCGGCCAACUAAGUCGGACGUGAAAUCCCUCAGCUUAACUGGGGAACUGCGUCUGAUACUGGAUGGCUUGGAUUCGGGAGAGGGAUGCGGAAUUCCAGGUGUAGCGGUGAAAUGCGUAGAUAUCUGGAGGAACACCGGUGGCGAAGGCGGCAUCCUGGACCGAUAUUGACGCUGAGGAGCGAAAGCCAGGGGAGCAAACGGG
RNAcentral lists this ribosomal RNA (253 nucleotides) under uncultured bacterium. Its description in RNAcentral is "partial 16S ribosomal RNA". It matches the Rfam family "Bacterial small subunit ribosomal RNA", at positions 524 to 776 of the family's 1533-position model. The record is from RNAcentral.